AGGAUCCAGUUCUGGAGGGCAGGAUGAAGGUGGUGGAGGACUAGUCGGGGGAGGGGAUAACCAAAGUGGAGCCGGUGGGAGUUCAAGGCCCCACUUCUGCUCUUGUCUUCCAAGCCCACUAUUUAGCAAGGACUGCCAGCCACACCCCAGUGCUCCCCGGGAAAACUGGUGUCAGGAUGGGCCGGGCUCCAGCGAGACUCUUGACAAACAGCACACAGCCGAAAGCAGGACUGGGGUUCGACAUCUUUUCCACAGUCUGUACAUAAAAAACCUCUCUCCUUUAAACGUUGGUGGAUUUUUUUUUUCUUGCUCUAGCAUUUUCUCAGAAGAUGCAAGUAAUGCAUCGGCUGCCCUACAGUUUCCCAGGCUAGGGGUCAGAGUGUCAGGUUUUCAUUACCUCAUGGCAGUUCAGUCCUGACACAACAUAGAAUGGUACAGGAUUCUAGCCUUCUUGCAAACAAAUGAAAGUUAAUUUUAAGAAGAUACUCUUGAGCUGGAAUUCUAUCCCUGUUCUUGCUUCUGUUCCCUUGGCUUUGAGACUUGAGGAGACUGCCUUCCCAACCUCAUGCUCAUUGCUAUCAUCAUCCACUGUUGUCAAUUAGAUAACACCUGUGAGUAGAACUGUGUUUAUUGUAGAAGGGCUGUGCAGAAACUCAUAAGCGCUAUCAGCAGAAAUGGCCCAAGUCUUGACACAAAACCCCAAGACACCAUGAAUUCAUUCAAAGGACAUGUACUGAGUCUACACCAGGUGCCUGUCACCAUAGAGCUGUGGAGGACACAACAGAGAACAGAGGCCGUGGCUGCUGCCCCAAAGAUGCUUGGAACCUUGUUUUUCUUUUAAUUUAACUUUUGAUUUAUUCUUUGUGGCUUUCACAUCAUCAUUCAUCUGCCUGUCCCUUCAUAUCUUCCCUCUGCCCUUGUAAGCAUUCUUCCUGGCUCAUCAUCCUUCUGAAGCCCCCAACUACCUCAGGGACACUGUGGUUGAGCUUUGAGGAACAGGGACACACACGAGUCUUCCUUCCAUACUUUAGGGUUGGUCGGUUUGAAGACAGAGAAGAGGGUUGAUUGGUCAUGUCAACAUGCCAACUGUUGAGAGUUCAGGCCCUGACCUUGGUGAGCCAGUCCAUCAGGGGUGCCUGCUGGUGGGAGACAAAAGUUGCCAGGCUUUUGUCCCAAGUCAGGAGGUUGAAGAAGCUGGCAAUCUUGGGAAUUGCCACCUUUAUUUCCUAGCCAUGGCCCCUCUCCCUAUCCGUCCACCAGGGAGGCUGUCUAACUCCUGGUCUCUGGAGACUAAGUGGCAGAGGGACAGCUGAAGCCUUGUUCUUCCCACGGGUACAGAUUCAUAUUUGCAAAGCCAUGCCACCAAGAAGGCCCUCCAUCACUGAACCCAGAAGAGAAAGUUUGCGUCUAACACAGCAAGCAUUACUGAAGAUGCCCUGGGUGUGAGACUUGUGUUCGAGGCCUGUCCAAGGCACUAAAGAGAAGAUGGGGUCAGGGACAGGCUCUGAGCCUUCCUCCACCCCUACAUUCAUGGCACUGUGUGAUUCUCUCCCACAGGCAGAAUCAGACAAAGGGAUUCUCAGACUGCACCAGUUUUAGGCACCCAGGAAAUAACAUAGCUACCCAUCAUAUGAUUUUCACUGUUGGGGUCAGCGAAAGUGGUUCAGUCAGCAACUGUUUUAGGAUUUUGGGCCACAUGCAAGUUUCUAUGACUACUACUUAACUGUUGUUGAGGCGUGAAAGCAGCCACAGAUGUGUGGGAGUGAGUGGGUGUGGCUGGGUGCCAGCCCUAAAACGCCUAUCUCCAUGUUCAGAUCGUAGAACGUUCUUCUGUUGAUUUUUAUCAACCUCUACAAGUGUGAAACCUCAUUCUUAGUUUGUGGAUCAUACAAAACAGGUGUUGGAACCGUGAGCAGUGGUUACCUGUCUCCCGGUUGUAGAAGAACAAAGAGAUCUCUCAGUCAGUCCCACGCCCCAUACUGGGUACCCGGAGUUCCUCUACACAUACUUUCCCCACUCUGUGUUGAACUGUACUUCCUAGUGUUUUCUUUUAAGAAAGAGGCAUUCUGGGAAGAGAAGCCUAUUAAAUUCCAGCACAUCCAUCUUGACGUUGGUGAGUUCAAACUUAAAUUCCACAGGGCCCACGGCCUUUCAUCAGCCCUGCUCACUGUGAAGUUCACUGUUACCAGCCUGGCCAAUAAAUGAGAUUUUAGCAAUAGCCUGGAAAUACUGAUGGUGGAUAAGCGACCUUUCAUUCUAACUUGAAACACCGAGGAGACCAGCAGCAGAGGCUGGGACCAGGCCUGAUAAUGAGACCAGAGCAGCAGCAGAAAGAUGCUUGCUGGCCUCUAGACCAGGGUGGUGCUCAAGUCCACUCAUGCCUUGUGAAGCUGGUGGGCUUGAAGCAGGAAGAACCUGGGGCGUGCCAGUGUCCCGUGGAAACUGGAAGAGGCUCAAAGCCAUGUACAGCACCUGGAGAAGUAGCAUCAAGGCCCAGUGGACUCGGUGAUCCAUUUCAGCGAAGCUGAUCCGUGUAGUUCUUGCCAAGGAAAACAUUAGGACUUGACAAGAUCUGGCAAGUCCCCGAGACAUGAGUUUGUGUGGUGUAAAGUGAGAAGGGCCUUUUGGAAGACGGGGUGAAUCUGAACAGACCGUGGAAAAGUGUGCACAGGGUAUUAAAAGCUCCAUCUUGUACAGAAGUGCCAAGGAAAGGCUGAAAGAGGGGACUGCCUAGUCCUCCUACACUGGUCCGGGUUUCCUAAUCAGGCACAUCAUAAAACAGUGUAACACUGGAUGAUGUGGAAUGUAUUACUAAAAACAAUUCAGGUUUGCCUUUGUGAUUACAAUGAAUGUAUCAACUAGAAUGCUUACUGCAUGGACAAGUUCUUGGAGAUAAACUAGCCAAUCAAUAGAGCUCCAGCCUUGCUCUCUGGCUCCGGAGUUUUUCUGUACAGAGAAAGAUGAACAACUAGCCACUGAUUUGGUCCUCAUUUCUUGCUUAUGGACAUUUACAUUAGAUUCGGUGGAUCCCAAAAUUGCACAUGGAGCUUCCUGUUUCCUGACAUCCAAUUCAUUCACUCCUCAAACUAAUAUACGAAAGUUCUCCGUGGAUGCAAACAGGUAUCCAGGGAUAACCAGAGCCUCCGGGGCUGGGUGCUGAGAAGAUAUGACCUGUGGAUGUCUUACUGUGUAUCCUAAAGCAGUAGACUGGCACGGCCCAUCAGAAGAGGAACACUACCUCUGCAGUUUAGAGACAAAGGUUGCUAUUGGGCAGUGCAUGGUGGUGUUCAGAUACAAACUAAUCCUUACUGUGCCCCCCCCCCACCAGGACGGACUUCACCUCGCCUAUGACUCGACCUGAGUGGCCAUCUCAUCCUGUGCCUCCUUCCCCAAGUACUGUUACAUCCAAAGCCAUAGAAGGCGAUUCUGGAGUUGGGGAAAUGGAGAGGACCGUCCCAAGGAGCCGACCUUGUGCCUUUGGAGGCAUAAUCCCAACCUUCUCUCUUCCAAGGCAGUAAAUUCGGGGAGGGGCGAACCACGCCACAGCCCUUCCACCAAACCUGGGGCUGGGAGCAGAAACACAAGAAAGGCAGGACACUUGCGUCUUGGCCUGCCCUGAUCGCAAUUCAGCUGAGGGGGUUAAACUCUCCCACUCUCCGCAACCCAAUUCAGGUUCCAGUUCUCUGAGAAGGGCAGAACAGGUGUCUCUCCCAACAAAGGGUCAUUUAUCCACAGUGCCCUUCCAUUCAGGGAGGUGGCCUGAGCCAGCCUCACAAGGUCUCAAGGACAAACCCAGCAGCCCCUUCUAAGUCACAUCCAAACUUGACCAAACUUGUGCAGACGUGUCCAAAAAUGAUAAGACUAAUCCUCAGCCAAUUAAAAGUAUACUAAUGUAACUGCUGCUUGCUUAACCAAUUACGUUUGAGAUGACCUAACUGCUCCUGAAAUCCCCCUAGCUGUGAUUAAAAAGAUCCUGCAUGCUCCUCUCAGGGUCACCGCCUGUUUCGUACAGGUGAAAGACCCCACAUGCAUGCUGGAAUAUUAAUAAACACUCUUUGCUCUUGUAUA
Molecule: non-coding RNA, 4068 nt
Organism: Peromyscus maniculatus bairdii (prairie deer mouse)
Lineage: Eukaryota; Metazoa; Chordata; Mammalia; Rodentia; Cricetidae
Source: RefSeq, a predicted model, not a curated record